Molecule: ribosomal RNA, 149 nt
Filed under: Biecheleriopsis adriatica
Lineage: Eukaryota; Dinophyceae; Lophodiniales; Lophodiniaceae
Description: 28S ribosomal RNA
Rfam family: Eukaryotic large subunit ribosomal RNA
Source: RNAcentral
AUAGGAUUCCCUUAGUAAUGGCGAACGAACAGGGAUGAGCUCGGCUUGGAAACUGGGGCUUCGGCCUUGGAUUGUAGCCUCUAGACAUAGUACCAACGGAGGCGCAGGUGUAAGCCUCUUGGAAAAGAGCAUCAACGUGGGUGAGAAUC